Molecule: ribosomal RNA, 433 nt
Filed under: uncultured bacterium
Lineage: Bacteria
Description: partial 16S ribosomal RNA
Rfam family: Bacterial small subunit ribosomal RNA
Source: RNAcentral
AACGAGCGCUGGCGGCAUGCCUAACACGUGCAAGUCGAACGAGACCUUCGGGUCUAGUGGCGCACGGGUGCGUAACGCGUGGGAACCUGCCCUUAGGUUCGGAAUAACUCCCCGAAAGGGGUGCUAAUACCGGAUAAUGUCUUCGGACCAAAGAUUUAUCGCCUUUGGAUGGGCCCGCGUUGGAUUAGCUAGUUGGUAGGGUAAAAGCCUACCAAGGCGACGAUCCAUAGCUGGUCUGAGAGGAUGAUCAGCCACACUGGGACUGAGACACGGCCCAGACUCCUACGGGAGGCAGCAGUGGGGAAUAUUGGACAAUGGGCGAAAGCCUGAUCCAGCAAUGCCGCGUGAGUGACGAAGGCCUUAGGGUUGUAAAGCUCUUUUACCCGGGAUGAUAAUGACAGUACCGGGAGAAUAAGCUCCGGCUAACUCCGUG